Molecule: transfer RNA, 64 nt
Filed under: Pachyphlegyas modiglianii
Lineage: Eukaryota; Metazoa; Arthropoda; Insecta; Hemiptera; Pachygronthidae
Description: tRNA-Asp
Rfam family: tRNA
About the family: Transfer RNA (tRNA) molecules are approximately 80 nucleotides in length. Their secondary structure includes four short double-helical elements and three loops (D, anti-codon, and T loops).
Source: RNAcentral
AAGAAAUUAGUUUAAGUUAUAAACAUUAACUUGUCAAGUUAAAAAUAAUGCCAAUUAUUUCUUA